GUUUUACGUGACGUCAUCAAAACAUGCGCAGACUGCGAUGGCUCAGUCGCUACUACAGUUGCUACCACUACUACCAUAAUGAUUAUUUUUGCUGUCUUUAAGCCUGGACACUGAAGUGACAAAGAAGUUCUCGUCAGUUCCCGCAACUUCGCUGAAGGCUACGGGCUCUCCCUUUCGCCAGCAUGGUUGAAUGUUGAAGGACAGACUAGAAGGCCGCUAGCUGUCUUGCCUCUAUUGUAGAGGAAUCUGAGACCAGCACAAUUUCCACAUACAACAGACAAAAAUGACUGCCACCGUAGGGAAAGGAGUUAACCUCCUGACCAUGGUUUUACAUCGUUCUUUUACUAGGACUACCUUUGGUCAACGAACUAUGCAGGAUUCUCAAGUGUCCCGACCACAGAGGAACUGGGUCAACACAUCGGCCUUGGCCUUUGGUUUGCUCGGCCUCAGCUUAUCCGUUUUCAGCACAAAGCAGCUCUACCAAGAUCCCAACAGCCAGUGCUUACUAUGGAAAAAGUAAUAUCACAGCUUCUGUAUCUCUCAAUCCUUGGCUUAACACUUGUCAGUUUCUCAUAAAUUGGCACUGUGUAGGACUCCACCUUCUGUGAUACAUUUGGACAACUUGAUGUUUACCAGGAAAUCAUUGAUACCACUCAACUUUGGUUGGUUGGGGGUUACAGAUGACAAGGUUAUGACCUUUGGUGGAUUUACUCCGGCGUGUCUAAGUGGAACCAAAACUUCUUCAACAGAAUUUCCUCUUCAAGUGAUAACAAUCUUUAUUAUCCAAGAACCCUCUCACCGAGUGAUAUUGCACCAUUUGAUAUCUGGGUAACUAUUAAAAAAUGUCUCUCACACCUUGUCCCUCACUCCUGAUUGGAGUUGGGUAAAAGGAAGCGAAGUUAUUAUUGUAGACUUACAAAAAGAAAAUUUUGCAAAUUUUCUCUAAUACGGCUAUUACACUACAUGCAUUUUCAAAUCCCCCCUUCCUCUCCCUCCCUCCCAUUUAUAAGUAUUAUCUUCUCGUGUUCCUUCAUUCUAGAAUUCUUGUCCUUAUCAUUAUUCAUGGCACUGUUUCUGGAAGAUAAAGUGCUGAUCAUGCUACCAAGUGUCUUAAUGCAUCCAUGAUUGCAAAAAAUCUUGUUUGUCAGUCCUUUGUGCACUUUCAGUAGUGUCACUAAGAAUACUUUGUUUAACUUGCUUGCGCUUGCACAUUUUUUAUUUUAAGAAAGUGUUAUUGUGUUUAUGCAUAUGUUUCAAGGCUAUUAAAAGAGGAUGUGUUGCAAACAUUGCCUCAUACCUGUUGUUGCUUUUUUUUGGUUUUUUUUUUUUUUUAAAUUCUUGUUAACUGAUUAGCAACUACAAGAUAGGCAGCUGCUGUGCCCAUGUAUUCAGAGUUAAAGAAAAUUGAUGUGGCUUGUAGAAGUAUUGUAAUCAUUUCCUCAUCUUUCUGUUCCUUCUAACAGUUCUGUCUGGUGAUGUAGCACUGAGCAAAUAUUGUAGCAGUAUCAGCAGUUGUUUUACAGUAUGCACCCUACUUCAUUCGGGGACAAAUUGUGUCUUGAACUAGGGAAAUAUUAAGAUGCAGGUCAGCUGUUUUGUACUUGCAUUUACUCUAUUUUUCUACACAGCUGAUGUAUGCAACCUUCCACUUCGUGGAUCAAAGUGGUGUUUUAAUCUGAUGGAUGAUACUUGGAUGUAAUUUGGCAAGAAGCUUUGUCCCACUGGAACACUUGGUUCCUAAAUCUGAUGGGUCUGUUGCAACUGAAAAUAAAAUAAGUGAAAAAGA
Molecule: long non-coding RNA, 1786 nt
Organism: Pomacea canaliculata
Lineage: Eukaryota; Metazoa; Mollusca; Gastropoda; Architaenioglossa; Ampullariidae
Exons: 4
Source: RefSeq, a predicted model, not a curated record